This 463-nucleotide ribosomal RNA is filed under the name uncultured bacterium. RNAcentral describes it as "partial 16S ribosomal RNA". It matches the Rfam family "Bacterial small subunit ribosomal RNA", at positions 28 to 507 of the family's 1533-position model. The record is from RNAcentral.
GACGAACGCUGGCGGCGUGCUUAACACAUGCAAGUCGAACGGAAAGGCCUCUUCGGAGGUACUCGAGUGGCGAACGGGUGAGUAACACGUGGGUGAUCUGCCCUGCACUCUGGGAUAAGCCUGGGAAACUGGGUCUAAUACCGGAUAGGACCGCACUUUAGUGUGUGUGGUGGAAAGUUUUUUCGGUGUAGGAUGAGCCCGCGGCCUAUCAGCUUGUUGGUGGGGUAAUGGCCUACCAAGGCGGCGACGGGUAGCCGGACUGAGAGGUUGGUCGGCCACAUUGGGACUGAGAUACGGCCCAGACUCCUACGGGAGGCAGCAGUGGGGAAUAUUGCACAAUGGGCGCAAGCCUGAUGCAGCGACGCCGCGUGGGGGAUGACGGCCUUCGGGUUGUAAACUCCUUUCGCCAGGGACGAAGCGUUUUGUGACGGUACCUGGAGAAGAAGCACCGGCUAACUACGUG